This 253-nucleotide ribosomal RNA is filed under the name uncultured archaeon. RNAcentral's name for it is "partial 16S ribosomal RNA". It matches the Rfam family "Archaeal small subunit ribosomal RNA", at positions 474 to 726 of the family's 1478-position model. The record is from RNAcentral.
UCCCAGCAGUCCAAGUCGCAGCCACAAUUAUUGGGUCUAAAAUAUCCGUAGCUUGCUUUAUAAGUCUCUUGUGAAAUCUGGCCUCUUAAGGGUCGGGCGUGCAAGAGAUACUAUUUAGCUUGAGACCGGGAGACGUAAGAAGUACGAAUGGAGUAGCGGUAAAAUGUGUUGAUCCUAUUUGGACUAACAAUUGCGAAGGCAUCUUACGAGAACGGAUCUGACAGUGAGGGAUGAAGGCUAGGGGCGCAAAGUG